Molecule: ribosomal RNA, 402 nt
Filed under: uncultured bacterium
Lineage: Bacteria
Description: bacterial SSU rRNA
Rfam family: Bacterial small subunit ribosomal RNA
Source: RNAcentral
UGGGGAAUAUUGGACAGUGGGGGAAACCCUGAUCCAGCAAUGCCGCGUGAGUGAAGAAGGCCUUAGGGUUGUAAAGCUCUUUCGCCCGCGAAGAUAAUGACGGUAGCGGGAGAAGAAGCCCCGGCUAACUCCGUGCCAGCAGCCGCGGUAAUACGGAGGGGGCUAGCGUUGUUCGGAAUUACUGGGCGUAAAGCGUACGUAGGCGGAUGCGCAAGUUGGGGGUGAAAUCCCGGGGCUUAACCUCGGAAUUGCCCUCAAAACUGCACGUCUUGAGACCGAGAGAGGUAAGGGGAAUUCCUAGUGUAGAGGUGAAAUUCGUAGAUAUUAGGAAGAACACCAGUGGCGAAGGCGCCUUACUGGCUCGGUACUGACGCUGAGGUACGAAAGCGUGGGGAGCAAACA